RNAcentral lists this non-coding RNA (27 nucleotides) under Rattus norvegicus (Norway rat). The record is from RNAcentral. Lineage: Eukaryota; Metazoa; Chordata; Mammalia; Rodentia; Muridae.
UGGAAACGAGAUCUUCAUCAUCAGCUU